AGAAUGUACUAUUCAAAAAAGGAUGCAAUGGAGAACAUUUACAGAGGACUGUGGGUAAAGCAAAGUCUUCAAGGGAAGAUAACAAAGGAUGAAACAAUGGUGUUGUGUGACUUCCUAGUGUGAAUCAUGGCAAUACAGUGAAAGACAGUGAUUUACUGCUUUUGAGGGCGUGCAUGUAUAUGAUUAACGGAUGGAAGUGCAGGACUCCAAGAUUUACUUCCUUCCCUUUCCAGCAGAAUUACCUGAGACGAGUAAAAUCUACUGGUGGAGUCACUCCAUUAUUCUUAUCUGUGGAGAUCUAGAUCUUGAUUUGAAAGUUUCUGAGAAAAUCUUCAGCUCAGACUUGAGGGUCAACUUUACCAGCUGAAGGAUCUGCAUUUACUGCUCAACCACAUCUAAUUUGAUGUCCUCUGCAGAUUUAAAAUGUGUGCCUUCUUUUCCGUCACCAAGUCAUCCCUGGGUUACUACUGAACAUCCUUCUCAAUUCCCCCCGACCCAUGGAUGGCUGUUCUCCAUUGUCUGUUUCACCAGAUGUCCUCAAAACAAACAGACAGAAGAAGGAAGUGGCUAAUGGAGCUGUGGAGUCCAAGUGUGACUGCCAAGAGGAAUCCAGCAAAGCCAAAAAGCCCAAGCAUGUAGCCCUGCCCGAAGCACGCCACACGCAUGGAAAACCCAGAGGAAAUGAGUGAGGAUCAAUGGGAAGAAGAGAGCCAGCCAGCUCUGUAUUCUAAGAACCUGGAAACAAUCUUUAUUCACACUGUUAAGACGAUUGAGAAAAAUGGAUGGAUAGAGUUUAUUUGCUAAGAGAAAAACUGAGUGACUACCUAGCUACCUCACUCCUUUUUGCUCUAUUGGAAGUUGAAGAUUUGUCCAGGAGCAGAUAGCUGAAGAGAGAGAGAGAGAAGAGAGAACGGCUUACAGCUCAGGUCCUCUCUCCAUGCUUAGGAACCACUACAAAUGCUACUGCCUUGAGUCUCAUUUUGUUUCCCUCUGGAAACCACAUGUGUACCUUGUUUGCAACAGUAUGGGCUCACAGGCAGAAGGAAUUUUCCUUGUCUUGGAUGAGACUUUUGACUUGGACUUUUGGGUUAAGGAUUUACAGAAAGCGUGGUGCUGGCAUCUGAUCAGCUUCUGGGGUGGCCUCAGGAAGCUUACAAUCAUGGUGGCAUUUGAAGUGGAAGCGAGAGAGAGAAGAGGAGAUGCAACACACUUUUAAACAAGAUUUCAGGAGAACUCAUUCACUAUGUUCUGGAGACCAGAAGGCCAAAAUCAAAAGUAUGGGCAGGCUUGAUUUCUUUAGAAGACUCCAGCGGAGAACUGUGUCUCCUUGCUUCUGAUUCUACAUCUCCAUCCAUGGGCCACUGUUUCAGCAACCUCAGCCAGUGCAACACAACCUCAGCCAAGAAGAGUAUGCAGAGAAAGGAGUCCCCUACCUGCCACAAAACUGUUGUCUGAAAACUGUCUCAUAUUGUCUCAAGUUGUCAUUCAUUGUGAAUUAGACCUGUUUAACAUGUAAUCUGCAA
This 1523-nucleotide long non-coding RNA is filed under the name Homo sapiens (human). RNAcentral describes it as "cancer susceptibility 15". Lineage: Eukaryota; Metazoa; Chordata; Mammalia; Primates; Hominidae. The record is from RNAcentral.